UUCCUGAUUUUCCCAUCGUUCGGGGCAUUCUGGGGCUGUUUUGGCUAUUGGUUGCUUGUUUGGUCUUGAGCUGAACGGGUGGCUUCUAGUCCGGUGGCUUCGGGGAUGUUUUCCGUAAAGGUGGAUGAGUGGUGUUUGGUUUGUUACGUGUGGUUGGCUGCGGCGUUUGCAACAACUUCCAUGCUUUCAGACCUCUUCAGUUUUGCGGCAAGGCUUGUAUCGCCUUGAGCGUAAUGCGGGUUUUCUGUGCUGGCUACCUAAUCAACGGUAUCGGUUGGAUUGAUCAAAGUUUGAUUUCGUCUUCCGUCGCAUUCGCGGCGUGAGGCGAACCUCGAUGCGGUCUCUUUGAUCCACCUCGUUGAAGCACGUGCUUCGACGUUGUGGCACAUUGAGCAUUGCUUGGUCUCUUGUAUACGGAACAUAUAGUGGGCAUGGAUCUAACGAUCCUCGUUUGCCCUCAUAUUAGCGUAACGCUUCUCUAACACGACUUGCGCCAUGUUUUAG
RNAcentral lists this unclassified non-coding RNA (504 nucleotides) under Artemisia austriaca. RNAcentral's name for it is "external transcribed spacer". Lineage: Eukaryota; Viridiplantae; Streptophyta; Magnoliopsida; Asterales; Asteraceae. The record is from RNAcentral.